Molecule: ribosomal RNA, 216 nt
Filed under: uncultured bacterium
Lineage: Bacteria
Description: partial 16S ribosomal RNA
Rfam family: Bacterial small subunit ribosomal RNA
Source: RNAcentral
GUCUCAGUUCGGACUGUAGUCUGNAACCCGACUACACGAAGCUGGAAUCGCUAGUAAUCGCGAAUCAGAAUGUCGCGGUGAAUACGUUCCCGGGUCUUGUACACACCGCCCGUCACACCAUGGGGGUCGGGAAUGCCCGAAGCCGGUGACCUAACCGAAAGGAAGGAGCCGUCGAAGGCAGGUCUGAUAACUGGGGUGAAGUCGUAACAAGGUAGC